AGCGAACGCUGGCGGCAGGCCUAACACAUGCAAGUCGAACGAAGUCUUCGGACUUAGUGGCGGACGGGUGAGUAACACGUGGGAACGUGCCUUUAGGUUCGGAAUAACUCAGGGAAACUUGUGCUAAUACCGAAUGUGCCCUUCGGGGGAAAGAUUUAUCGCCGUUAGAGCGGCCCGCGUCUGAUAAGCUAGUUGGUGAGGUAAAGGCUCACCAAGGCGACGAUCAGUAGCUGGUCUGAGAGGAUGAUCAGCCACAUUGUGACUGAGACACGGCCCAAACUCCUGCGGGAGGCAGCAGUGGGGAAUCUUGCGCAAUGGGCGAAAGCCUGACGCAGCCAUGCCGCGUGAAUGAUGAAGGUCUUAGGAUUGUAAAAUUCUUUCACCGGGGACGAUAAUGACGGUACCCGGAGAAGAAGCCCCGGCUAACUUCGUGCCAGCCGCCGCGGUAA
RNAcentral lists this ribosomal RNA (449 nucleotides) under uncultured bacterium. Its description in RNAcentral is "partial 16S ribosomal RNA". It matches the Rfam family "Bacterial small subunit ribosomal RNA", at positions 29 to 523 of the family's 1533-position model. The record is from RNAcentral.